CAGCCAAAUCCCAGCUUGAGUUAGGCUGCACAUGAGCACAGCCUCAAUGUGUAUUCCCCACCCUCCAAAGCUUCCCACACGGUGUGGUCUGGGGCUAUCGCAAAAAGAAUUUUCUCACCAGCAUCGAUGUCUGUUCCCUUGGCUGACAGUAGUACAAUGAUCUUGUUCUAGUGCUGUUCUCUAAAGGAUUGAAACCAGCAUAAGAAAGACAGCAGACAUUGGCUUUCUAUAUUAGAAGAGAGUGCAAUGAUUUGUGGUAGGAGCACUAUAGGCCAUGCUGGGGACUGCUAGAGAGCCUGAUCAGACAUUUAGGCCUUACUUGUUUGUGCCAGUAAGCAGAAGAAUGAACAUCCUCCUUAAAUACUGCAUCAGACACCUUCGACUUUUACCAGGCCAUAUUGUUUAAGAGACAUAUUAGGAUAUAUGGAUAAAGGAAUAAGCACUGAGUGGAACAUUGGGUGAAACUACAGAGCAAAUGAAGAUCACAACCAUCUAAAUGGACAAGGAAUCACUCUGCAACAAAAACCAUUGUGCCUUGAUGGAGAUAAAGUGAUGUGAAAGAUCCAUCCUCAGUAUUUGAUCUAUGAGGUGGAUGCCUGACUCGUGCCAACCUGCCCUCCCGCCACCUGUUGAGUCCCAGUGUUUGCUCAGACCAAGAGUGCCUCUGAGAGCAACACCUGGCAGACUGCAGCCAACGAUGCUGGAAGCCCCCAGCAGAAGACUCCAGAAGGCAUCAAUAAUAGCGUUAUGUACAACAAACGCAGGAAUGAUGGAUCACAUCUUUUAUCAAGUAUACUUUUUCUUAAUGGAGAGUCAAGAACCAACCACAAAUGCCAUGUUUUUAGCCUAUUUUCCCCAGGCCUCACCAGUCAGAGAAGAUCCUAGCCAACCACAACCUGCAGAGGAAGUAUGUGCAAGACCUAACAUGCCAGUGGACCAGCCAGAUCCAGCCCCACCCAGGCCACUGAGCAACAUGGAGCACGUGGCCCAGUUAUGCAACAGGAGGCAUGUGGACCAUCUCCAGCUUGCAAAGGACCUCUUCACACAGCAUGCUGAGAGCUCACAGGCCACCUGCUCGCUGCUGUGUGAAAUGAACCAAAGAGAGUGAAAGGUGCAAUGAAGACAGGCAGGUCUUGCAAAAGGUCACAGGUCAGAAAGUGUGGGCCUAUGAACAGGUGUCCGAGCACCCAGUGCAGGUCUAUGAAGAAGUCUCAGAUUGCACUGUGAGGGAAUUGGUGGGUGCUAUGCAGCGGUCUGAUACAGCAGCUGAGAGAAGGAUUGAGUGCUACACUGCCUACCUAGAAUGCAUGACUGAUUCAAUAUCUAGAAUUGCCAACCAGACACCACACUUUCCCCCUCAACAACAGCCGCUCUAACAACCUCAGCUGCUGAUGCCAGGGCCCUACUUGCCUGCAACUCCAGGCCAUUCCAGCCUCUCAAGCUGUGCAUGGGCAGGAGCACCCACAGGCCCAGAUGCCCCUUGCCCCAGUGCAAGGGACCUUGCGGGUUCUGCAGGGUGGGCUUUUGCCAUCCAUGCCAGAGACACCCAUAAGACCUCCUCCUGUGGGUCCACAUGCAGAGCCAUCAGGAAUCAGCCCCAUGGGCACAUCUGGGCAGCAAGCCAGCAAAUCUGUCCAUGCAGAGCCCAUGGCCCCUGCGCAAGCCGCUCAGCAGCAGAUAACCCAGGGUCCUGGGCAAAUGAGAAAUGGGACCUCUAGUGCAGCCCCACAGCAGAGGAAGACACAUUACCCACCCUUCUCCAACCCUCUACUUUCUAUGUACUGAAUGGAUGGCAUUGGGGGUAUAUGGUGCACGGAAAGCUUGCUUUUACUGAACCAGGAGGUGUGCUGAUCCAUGGAUCUUUAGUUUCAGAAACCUGAGGUUGCAGAGGGAGGAAAGUAGAGUUAUUUGGCAACUGUGGAAAGAAUGGCAAGUGGGCUUCCCCAGGCGCACCAGCACAAUACUACCCAGAUCCAGUCAAAUGCAAAGGUUUUAAAGAAUAAGUCCCAUCGCCUUGAUGAAUGCCCCCCCCAAACCCCCCACAUGUGGAUGUGCCCCUUUGCAGACCUGCCUAUCAAAGAAUUAGCAGCUGUGCUGCUGCAAGGGCCAUUUAACUUGGUCCAACAGGAAUGUCAGGAAAUGUCAGAUUUCCCACACAUCCUGACACAAGCAUUACAGGGGGCUAUGUUUGAUCUCUUGAAAAUUUCUCUUGGGUUGGAUGCAACAGGUUUUAGGCUACACAGGUCUACUGUAUCCCCUGUUGAAGGCAGCAGGCACUUUAAAGGUCUCCAUGGGGGAGAGAGAAAAGCAGUAGCUUUUAUGCACGCCACUAUAUAAUUAAGCAACUUGGGAUCCUGCUCCAUAGAAAUGAAAAGAGUAAAAUUAUUGAUUCCUUUGCAGUGUAUGAGGCUACUCUCAAGAAAAUCAUGUUGAAGGCAGGGGAACAAAGCUGCCACACCCCAUACCCUGCUAUUCCAAUUCUUGUGUGUGUGUGGAGGGGCAUUUCUGUCUGCCCUAUAAGGACAUUCCCAAUGAAAGCUUGGUUCCUCUUCUCCAUUCUUCUGUACAGUUCCCCCCAACACCUUUUUAAUAGAAACCUUGCACAACUAAGCCAAAUACAUGUGCAAGGAGUAAAAAAAAGUUUGGAUAACCAGAAAAUAAAAUGUAUUAAUUUAUUAUUAUUAUUAUUUCUUGUUUAAACAGACAGGUGUUAUUGACUGGUUUGUUUUAUACAGACAUCGAGUCCUUCCCAAGGACCUGGGAUGGCUGAAUUUUAUUAUCAAUGUUGCUGCUGUUAUUACAGACAUCGUCGCAGAAUAUAGGCUGCUCCCAGUAAAGUUGCUUUUUGUAAUUGGCUGAUGGUGAUUUCUAUGGCUCCUAUGGUGUUGGGGUGCUCUUCAAGUUAUUUUGGAAUUGCACCUAGGGCGCCAACUACCACUGGGAUUAUUUUGGUCUUUUUCUGCCACAGCCUUUCAAUUUCAAUUUGUAGAUCUUUAUAUUUUUUUUCCUAUUUCUUUUUCUUCUAUUCUGCUAUCCCCUGGUUUUGCUAUGUCGAUUAUUUUAACUUGUUUUUCUUUCUUCUCAACUACAGUUAUAUCUGGUUUAUUGUGUGGCAGAUGUUUGUCUGUUUUUAGUUGGAAGUCCCAUAAUAUUUUUGCAUCUUCAUUUUCUAGAACUUUUUCAAUUUUAUGAUCCCACCAGUUUUUGGCUACAGGUAGCUUGUAUUUUUUUGCAGAUGUUCCAGUGUAUCAUCCCUGCUACCUUGUCAUGCCUUUGUUUGUAGUCAGUCUGUGGGAUCUUUUUACAACAGUUGAUUAGGUGGUCCACUGUUUCAUCUGCUUCUUUACAAAGGUGGCACUUGCUGUUUGUUGUGGAUUUUUUUGACUUUUGCUCUUAUUGCAUUUGUUCUUAGUGCCUGUUCUUGCGCAGCCAGUAUUAAACCCUCUGUUUCUUUCUUCAAGUUGCCAUUCUUAAGCCAUUGCCAGGUCUUGGUGAUGUCUGAUUUUCCAUGUGCAGGGGCUUAUUUCUCCAUCUUUCUGCUCGGUUCUUGACUUGUUCUUUCCUAUAGGCCUGCUUUGUUUCAUUGGUGUUGAAUAGUUUCUCGUUCUUGACCAUUUGAAGUGCAUCUUCUUCACUGUCCUUGAUAUAUUCUUCAAGGCCUCUUUUCUCCUCCUCUACUGUUUGAUGGACUUGCAGCAUUCCUCUUCCACCUGAGCUGCGAGGGAGGUAGAGCCUAUCUACAUCACUGCGGGGGUGCAGAGCAUGAUUGAUGGUCAUGAUUUUCCUGGUCUUACAAUCUAGCGUCUCUAGCUCUGCCUGGGUCCAGUCUAUUAUUCCUGUAGUGUAUCAGAUAACAGGUAUAGCCCAGGUGUUUAUGGCUUGUAUGGUGUUCCCGCCAUUGAGUUUGGACUUGAGGAUUUUUCUAACUCUCCUGAUGUAUUCACUUCCAAUUUUUCUUUUAACUUCAGUGUGUGCAAUGUUAUCAGCCUGGAGAAUGCCCAAGUAUUUGUAAUGUUCUUUCUCUUCCAGGUUCUUGAUGUUGCUUUCAUUGGGCAGUUCUAUUCCUUCUGUUUUUCUUAUUUUUCCUCUGUUCAUUAUUAAUGCAGCACACUUGUCUAGUCCAAACUCCAUUGCUAUAUCGCUACUGAAUAUACGGACAGUGUUUAGCAGUGAUUCCAUUUCUGACUGGGACUUUCCAUACAACUUCAGAUCGUCCAUGUAAAGCAGAUGGUUGAUUUUACUGGAUGUUUUAGAUGUUUGGUAUCCGAGGCCUGUUUUGUUUAGUAUUUGUGAAAGUGGGGUCAUGGCAAUUACAAACAACAGAGGGUAUAGUGAGUCCCCUUGGAAAAUGCCUCUUCUAAUGCUAACCUGUCGAAGUCUCUCACCAUUGAUUGUUAACUGUGUACUCCACAUGCUCAUUGCUUUUUAAAUAAAUAUCUGAAUGUUUUUGCUGACACCAGUUGUUUCUAAACAUUUUAGUAUCCAUGUGUGAGGCAAUGAAUCGAAGGCUUUCUUGUAGUCAAUCCAUGCAACACUUAGAUUGGUUUUUCUUCUCUUGCAGUUUUCUAAAAUCAUUUUGUCAAUCAGCAGCUGGUCUUUUGUGCCUCCGGUGUUCGGGCAAUUUCCUUUCUGUUCAAGUGGAAGCUGUUUGUUAGUUAAUAAGUGUUGCAUCACUUCAUCUGCUAUUAUUCCAGUUAAUAAUUUGAACAUGGUUGGCAGGCAGGUGAUCGGUCUAUAAUUACUUGGAACUGCACCUUUUGCUGGUUCUUUCAUUAUGAGAUGAGUUUUCCCAGUUGUUAGCCAUUGUUCAACAUCACCGCCUUGCAAAAUGUGAUUGAACUGUUUUGAUUUUUGUUUAUGAAGGCUUGUUAGGUGUUUAAGCCAAAAGCCAUGCAGUUCAUCGUCGCCUGGCGUAGUCCAAUUUUUAAUUUUCUUUGCUCUUUCACUUAUUAAUUCUGGUGUUAUUAUUAGAUCUUGCAUUUGUUGGUUACAUUUUUUGACCUCUUUCAUCCAGCCUGCUUUUUUAUUAUAAUCCAUUGGAUUGUCCCAUAAUUUCCCCCAGAAUUGCACUGUUUCUGCUUUAUUUGGUGUUUCUACGUUUCUUGCAGUUUCUCCUUCUAUACUUUGGUAGAAACGUCUCUGAUUCGACUGGAAUUGGAGAUUCUGCCUGUGUUGUGUAAUUCUGGCUUCAUAUCUGCUAAUCUUCUUUGACAAAUAACUGCUGUUAUUUGCUGCUUUAUUAUUUCCAGGUCUUCUCUAAUUCUCCUUGAAUCUAGGUGGUAUUUUUGGAUCAGAUACUGUUUGGUGUUUUCAUUCUUCAGCUUCUUGUCUUUCAUAUCUUUCAAUUUACUAGCAUCUGAUCUAAGCCUGGAGAUUUUAUUUUCUAAUCUAAUCUUCCAUUUAGGUGAUGUACUGCUUUCUUUUUUGACAGGUCCACUGAUCUUAUAUCUGAGCUCUUGUGUUGUUAUUGUUGCUGCACUGUACAUUAGUUGGUUUGUUUCUUGAAAAUUAUAGGUUGUUAUUUCUGCAAGUGCAGCAUUGACAUCUUUUAAUGCCUGAGCAUCAUCAUCAUCAGCAGCAGCAGCAUCAUCAUCAUUAUUAUUACACACAGAUGUGCUUCACAUGACACCUGAGGGGGUUCUUCAGAGAGAGCGGGUUUAGCCUGCCCUCCCUGUAGAUGAGCAGCCGCUCAUAGCUGGGCAGCCAGAUCAGCCACCCACAUGACUACCGGAUCACCCACCCACACGACUGCCAGCUCUGUCACGGAGCCAGCAGGGGCUGCGGGAAUUGGGUCGCAUGCCCCCCAGAUGUUCCAGGAUGCCCCGCACAAGUGCGUGGGGCAUCCUGGAGAGACCCCUGAGCCAGCCUCCUUGCCAGGGGUCUACUCAUGUGUCGCCGCACAUCACGGCAGCACACCAGCAAUGAAAUCAGGUUAAUGAAGUGCUUGCUCCAUUAACCUCAUUUAAGGGGAGGUUUAGGCAGGCUAGCCCCCUUGGGAGCACCAGGCUCGCCUGCGAUCCUGGUGGUCCCCACAACCACUAGAAUGCAGGCCACGCUCCCUUAACCCGCUUUCUAGUGAUCAUGGGAAUAGUUUCACAGUCCACCAGAUGUUAUUGAAUGGAUUUGGUACUUUAAUUAUCAGACCCUUUCCAAGGGUCUAGGAUAACUAAAGAAAAAUUAAAGAUAUUGUUUUAGUAUUAAUGCUCUCCGAAGUAGUGUGGCCUUCUGUAGUUGAUGUGUUGUAAUUUUAUUGAUGCCCAAGGUGUUGAGAUGGUGUUCAAGUUCUUUUGGUACUGCACCAAGGGCACCAACAACUAUUGGCACCACUAUUGUUUUCUUUUUCCAGAGCCGCUCAAUUUCAAUCUGAAGGUCCUUGUAUUUAGUUAUUUUCUCCAAUUGUUUUUCAUUGACUCGUCUAUCCCCUGGGAUUGCAAUAUCAAUGAUCAGAACCCAGUUCUUCUGAAUGACUGUCAGAUCAGGCAUAUUGUGUGCUAAAUGCCUAUCAGUUUGUAUUCACAAAUCCCAAAGGAUUUUUGCCUCUUCAUUUUCUGUGACCUUCUCAAUUGGAUAAUUCCACCAAUUUUUACUUGCUGGCAAUUUGUAAUUCUUGCAAAUGUUCCAGUAGAUCAUUGCAGCAACUUUGUUGGGUCUUUCCUUAUAAUCAGUCUCCAUGAUUUUCUUACAACAACAUACAAGGUGCUCACCCAUCUCAUCCACUUCCUUGCAUAACUGACACUUACUGUCUUUCUGGGUCUUAUCAAUUUUUGCUUUUAUAACAUUUGUUCGUAGUGAUUGUUCCUGGGCUGCAAAAAUGAGUCCUUCUGUGUCUUUCUUCAAUAUCCCCUUCUUUAACCACUGCCAUGUUGUGCUAUUGCUGACUUUCAAUUGUAUGUCAUUAAAGAACUGACCAUGCAAUGGUUUGUUGUGCCAUUUUUCUCGAUUCAUUCAUCUGCUGGUUUAUGUAUUCAUCCUUUGAUUGCUUUAUUUUCAACAGUCCUGUCUUACUCACUUCCUGUAGCAUUUCUUCUUGGCUUUCAUUGAUGUAUUCUGCCAAUGCUCAUUUUUCUUUUUCAACAGACUGUCUGACUUGCAACAUUCUAUAUCUGCCCUUAUUUCUUGGCAGGUACAGCCUAUCAACAUCACUUCUUCAGUGCAGGGCAUGAUUGAAGGUCAUUAUUUUCCUGGUUUUCCAAUCCAGCGCAGCCAAUUUUGUUUGUAUCCAAUCAACAAUAUCUGCUGUAUAUCGGAUUACAGGAAUUGCCCAUGUGUUGAUUGCUUUGAUAUUGUUACCAUCAUUGAGUUUAGAUUUCAGUGUUUUUCUUAUUCGCCUGAUAUAUUCCUUGCUAACUUUGGUCUUCACUUCAGCGUGCUUGAUCUUGUCACUUUGGGGAAUGCCCAAAUACUUAUAACUUUCCUCAGGUGACAGAAUCUUUAUGUUGUUUCUGUUUGGCAUCUCAAUUCCUUCACUAGUUGUCAUUUUUUCUCAAUGUAUUACCAAUAUAAAAUUUGUUCAGUCCAAACUCGAUUGCGAAGUCAAGGCUACAAAUUCUAACCAAAUUGAGUAAUGACUCAAUUAUGGAUAGUGACUUUCCAUACAGCUUUAUUGCACCCCCAAACCCCAAUGAAGACAGGACAUGCUUGGUUGGAGUAAAUUAGGGCCACUUUAUUCAUCUAUAGUGAAGAGGACUUGCAACGAGGUACCUAACUCACCAGAGUGCGGGUACGCCUCCCAUGUGGAGGUGCCUCUUAGUGAGGGCCAUCUCACACCAGGGCGAAGGGCCGGGUACUGAUUCUGUCAGGUGCCAUGUCCUGACCUGACGCCCCUCCUGUCCCACUCCUCGGGCCAUCUGGCACCACUGCCCCACCCCCAAAACAGGCCAAAACCAUUGCCACUGGCUGCAUCAGAUUAGACCUGCAGCUCAGCCUACAGCAGGAAUUUGGAGCGCCAGAAUGAAACAUCAUUGAAAUCUUUUAAAAACUCAACUGACAUCCUGGCAUCUUCCCUAACAUCUUGUGUCACUCUAACCCGGUGAUGGGGGGCUUUAACCCCUUUGGUGGCAUCACACAGCCUCCUGAGGAAGGCACGUCUGGGUGCUAUAACCCUACACACAAAGUUCAUGUGCCCCACGAUGGAUUGCAGCUCCCACAUAACCAUCUUGGCUUCCAGCAGGCGGCCCAGCCACAGCUCCAAUGCUAGGACCCUGUCCGCUGGCAGCCGGCAGCAUUGUGCCUCAGUAUCUAUCUCAGUUCCGAGGAACUCUAGCCUUGAGGUUGGUCUCUCUGUUUUUUCUGCUGCGAGUGAGACACCUAGCUCCUGCGCCAGACCAUGGAAAGUGGAACUGUUUCAUGGAACAGCAGUGAGAACAUAUCAAUGUCCUCGUUCCUCCAAAUUUUCUCUUUUGUGGACAGCAAGUGAUCACCAAGAGGCAAAGACACGUUCCCGCAGGCGUAGUGUUCAAUCUUAUCGCCUGUUGCUGCCAAAGCCUUGCUUUCACCCAGCUGACCCUGGUCCAUGCCCCCUGCCUUUUUGCUCCCCCACUUCAGCUCCCAGGGCAUAAGCUGCAGCUAUACUGCUGGUGCAGCCUUCUUGUCAGUUUCCCCUACUACCUCCACAGGUGGCAAUGGCAUCCCUGCCCAGUUGGGUGCAGAGUAACCUGAUCCCACUGGCCAAGCUGGCAUCCCCCCACCCAGACAUUGGUCCAAUGCCCAGCCCACAGGGGAUAGCCCCAACCUCAAUCAGACUCACAGAAGGAUUCUAUGUCAGCGUCCAGUGUGUUUGGGCCAGGAGCCUCCACUGGCCUGGCAGAUUACGCUGUCCCAGCCUCCUCCGCGGCAUCUUUUUCCAGCACCUCCAACCUUGCCUCGAUUGGCUGCAAGAGUUGCAGCUUUUUGUUAGCUUGGUUGCCCACCUUUUUGCCCUUUUUCUCCUAUCCCUAGCCAGGAGUUCUCUUUUUUUCCAGCUCUUUGCUUCCCCUUCUUAUGAUACUUCCUUACAGCUGCAAAAUCUUGACCUUCCCUGAUACAGUUAAAGUCCUGGAGGAUACAACUUAUUUUAGUCACAGUGACAUGGUUAUUUUUGUUGUGUUCCCUUUUCCCCUCCAUAAUACACAUCCAUUUUGUUUACUUCAUGUUACUGAGCACAGAACUUCAAAUGUACUAAUGUGACUCUCCAGUCACUGCCUGCAGCUCCCAUCACUCUCGUUUCCUACACUGUAUUUUUGUUUCUCUCUUCCCCAAUUGAAGUCAUUGACAAAUUUGAUCGCAGUUCAGCAUACACAAAAGAAACGCAUGGCAAAGAAACAAGCUCUUACAGACUGUAAUUUCUUUAUGGGAACUGAAACAGGCAUCAGCAUAAAAGAAAGUCCGAACUGGGAUUUUAGGGAGGUGCUGGCAGGCAUAUAAGUAACUGCUUGAAGAAUGAGGCAGAGGAAAAUGGAAACUUUCUCAAGGAAAAUGGAGCUGGCUUUUUGUCGCAAUAAAUCACAUUCAGCUCAGUAGCAGGAUAGCAGUGAGACUGAUAAGGGUAUACUUUCAGCAGAUUUGAAUGUGAUCCAACCCACUUUUCAUACCAUUGUUUAAAUAAAUGAAUAUGUUUUAGUGGGGUGUGAGUGUCACUUUUGAACACAUGAAGCUGCUCUAUACCAAGUCAGACCUUUGGUCUGUCUAGCUCAGUAUCAUCUACACUGACUGAAAGCAGUGUAUAGGGCUUUCAGUCUGGGGUCUUUCCCAGUCCUACCUUGAGAUAUCAGGGACUGAACCCCGGACAUUCUGUAUACAAAGCCACAGCCAAGUUCCAAUUUUAACUGAAGCCAGCAAGUUGUAGUCAGUGAGGGUUUGAGGUAAAAGGACACAUUGAUUUUGAGGGUACUUUGGGCUUGGUGAGUGUGAAGGAAUGAGGCCUGAACCUCCUCUUUUUGUAUAUAAGAUUUCUGUAUUGCAAUUGCUUUGCUUACUCCCCAUGUUAAAAAAGCUGUGCAGGGGUCAAAGGUUCACAGCUCCUGUUCUACAGUUUGGUUUUGGAGGGAGAAGAAUUGCACUGGUUUAAUUUUGGAGGGGAAAGAGAGGUUGAAUUGAUUGGGCAUAUUUUAAAAUAAUGGAGGGAACUUGAGUUGUUUUGAUUGGGUUAUUUGGAAAAGAAUGGGGUGGGUGGGAAGAGAAUAUAAGGAGGCUGCGUUCAGCAGAGUUUUAAUGCAAGUUGGAGAGCUGAAGAGAGUUCCAGUAAAGGAAUUGAAGGAGUGCAAGUUGCUGUCAUAGUCAGACAGAACCAGAUCUGGUGCUGGAAAGAGAGCUGCAACAUCACUGGGAGAGUCAUGACUCUCUGGAGGACUGAAUCACUCCCAAAGCAGCUGAAGGAACAGUCUGGGAUGGAACCCCCAGAACUGGGAAGGGAGAGCAGAACCUGAGGCUGAGCAAGGGACAAGCCAGGCUUGCUGCAGAUGCUGACUGGGGGUGACUGCAAGAGGAUUCUUGGUAAGGACUCUGAGUUAGGGCCCAGGAUUAGUGCAGGAUAGAUUGGAUAAGUUUUUCUCAAAUUUUAUUUAUUCCUUGUGCUCAUACAGUUUUUGUUUUGUACAAAAAUUUCCAGAAAUAUUGUUUUGAACGGAACUAUUUUAAAGAAAAGUUUUCUUGUUUUGAAGUUGAAAAUGUAUUGCUUCUGUCGGUUUCCCCACCCCAUGCUUAGAGGCCUUUCCACCCUACCUAUCUUUGAAUGAGACAGAGGUUUGGAAGGCUGUUUUAGUAGACACAGCCAGAAAAAAUACAAAAGUCUACUUGAUGGCAGUGGUGAAGCUUAAGAUUACAGGGCUGGCUGAGACGGCCAUGACACAUGGUGCCAGCAUGGUGAGAUCCGUGGCAGUGAGUUACUAUAAAAAGAAAUUAAAAAGAAAAUAUUAGAGAUGGGUUUUCCUUCUAAAAAUAAUCUCCAACUCAUAUUAUGGGUUCUCUCCUUUCCCACUACAGUAAUGUGAGCCGCCCCAGAGACCUAGGAGAAGCCUGUGCUGCAGCUUCUCCCAGUGUUGCCCCAUUUCCAGGAGAGGCAAUACUGACAUGGGAGAAAAUUACAUAGGUUCUCCACAUCUGGCCCAGGGCUUCUCAUAUUCCUUCAAGAGAUUAGAAAGGAGCCACACUGCAGCUGAUUAUAUACCACAGCAAAACAUGGCCAGGGAGUCUUGGUGGUAACUUCUUUUUAUGAUACUGUUAAGUCCUUAUGCUUCCUUCAUUGUCUCAAUAAUGCCUCUAUACUGAUGUUUUCAUAAGAUUAAAAUGAGUUAAAUUACAUGCAUGAAGGGCAGAUGAUUCAUCAUCUAAACAUUCUUUAAACAGUGGUCUGACUUAAUUGAAACUGAAAAACAUCAUACUGGCAUGUUUGGAAAAACUAGAGAUAUUUAUUGCAGAAUGGAAGGUGUAACCAGAUGUCGUUACUGACAUUACAAAUCUAUAUUGGUUUCAUAUCACUUUAGUUUUCAUAGCUUCCUCUAAGGAAUUCUGGGAACUUUGGCUUGGCGAGGGUGCAAAUAAUGCUCUAUUAGAUAUCCUUGUGCUUUCCCCACAGUACUACAAUUUCUAGUUUCCCUGGAAUGAGGGAAUGACCAAUAAACCAAUCCAAGUCUUUAGUGUGAAUAUGCGCAAUGUAUUUGCAAGUGGUUUUCAUUGCAGUCAAAUCCACCAUGAGACAUUUCCUGAAAAAAAUCACAGGCAAUGUGAUCACUUUCCACUGCCCUGUUGGACAAAAGCCUUAUGAAAUCAAAAGCUUGUUUGAACAGUGGGUGUCUGUGAUGUUUUGAUUUCUUUCUCUUCUUCUAUUCACAAAUAGCUAAUUCCUUCUCAAGGAGUUUAUCAGCUGCUGCCCUGUUGGGUUAUUGUCACAAGCUCCUAAUAGCUGCCUCUGUUGUUUUGAUCGUAGUAAAGAGUCGGUGAUUAAAAACAAAGACGUUUCCUAGCAAAAUGGGCCACACAAAGCAUGCUUCUGGCAAAAUAUGAGGAGCUGAAACAGGAGGGGAAUCAAUACAGCUCUCAGAAAGCUAAUUUUGCUUCAUCCUUGUUCUGAGGACUCCUUGGCCCUGUUUCCCACAGUGGCAGGGUUAAGGGCCACAAGAUGUCAGUGUCGUACUGAACAUUGAGAAAGGGCAAGCGGCUCGGCUCGAGCCCCCUGAGUUAUAGAGUCGGUAAUACAGCACUGACUCUGAAUUCAAAGUAACUCAGCAGCAACGAUGUGAUUAUUAUAAAGCUCUGGCUGUGGAAUAUUUGACAGCACUGGAAAACAAAAAUGCAGUUGGGCUGUAUGGACCAUGUAGCCAGGGGAGAGGACAUAGCACAGUGAUAAAGUGCAUAGAUAGCACACAAAAGGUCUCUAGUUCAAAGCCUGGCAUUGCCGGAUAAGGGAAUCCGAGUAAAAGGACUGGCCUCUGGACUCUAAUUCAAGUAACAGGACUGGACUCUGCCUUAAGGAGCUGCCACCAGACAGAACAUAUUUCUGAGCUAGGUGGACAUUUCAAUGGCAUGUCUCGGUGAUAUUCUGCGCAUCAUACCAAACUAUGUCAUAGAAUUCUAGACUGUUAUCAUUUCAGACUGGGGUGGUCAUCUGUUGGAAGGUUCUCCUAAAUUCAUUGAAUUUAGAAAUACUAGCAUUUAGGGAGCAGGCUAUGCUAAACGUUCUCACAAUGUACUAGUUCACUACAUACGGGAGAGGGUUUGUUUGUUUUUAAAUGUGGAGAAACAUUCCAAAUUAUUACUUCACCCUUACAAAUCCUCCCUUUCAGUCUGCGUUUCACAAUUCUUCCAUCUCAGUCCAUCACCUUACUCUGUAAUGGCUCUUAGUAUAAGGGAGCUCCCUAUAUUCUAGCAAACAACACAUCUGUCUGUUAAACACAUCAUACCAUAGACUGCUCUCAUGUCCCCAUGCUUGCUGUUGAUGUUCCAGCCAAAGUAGAUACAGAGAGGGAGCACAAAUGUAACAUGGAUUUUGAAACCAAAGACAAGUAAGGGAAACAAUAGAGGAAAGUUACAGCAAUUUCCUGCCAUUUCCCACCUCAAAGUCUGCCUGCUGAUAAAUAUGAGUCAACUGCUUUAUAAAAGAGUGUGUUAAAGGGCUGAUAAUUAGUUGUAUCUACAAUUGGGGACCCAUGAAAAUUUUUCAGAAGAGAGAGUUGUUUUAUAGCUGCUUCCCUCAUAAACGCAGAGUAAUCCAUACCUGCCAACACGUCCCUAUUUUCUCAUUCCCCUGAAUGGGAAAAUAGGUACAUGUUGACAGGUAGGGUAAUCUUAUGCAUAUUUAACUAAGAGUUUAUUCAGAAACAACUCCAUUUUCUGCUUCUCCUUUCCCUCCCUUUUUCUUUCUGACUCUACCCUCCACACUCUCUACAGGAUCCCCUCUGGGACAAACUUCUCAACAACAAAGCAUAAAAGAUUACUAGAUAGAAUACAACAAGGGUAUGAUGAAAUUAGGCUGGAGAGUAAACUGUGCAGAGUUGUCUGGGUACGAGGAGGUUAAAUCUUAUACAUAAGCCUGGUUCAGACAUAAUAUAGAACCAAGGGUCCAAUGGACCCACAGUUCCACUCCCCCCUGCCCAGUUUGCAUACCUGUACAAAUUAAGACAUAAGCGCUGGCCUCAGGUAACUGGCUGCCGGGCUUCCUCCUUUGAUUGAUGGACAGCCACAGCAGCCUAUCACAACUCAGAGAGGGAGGAGCUUCCUCCUUUCAACUCUGGUCCUGGGGGAGGCUGCUUCGUUUACUGAAUCCAGACAUAAUAGAGGCAGCCACAAAUCGGAGGCCCAAGCAGCUAAUCUUACUACAAACUGAGGGUUCAAAUUGGAGUUUGGGCUAAGGUGGGUUAUCUGUGGCUGCGAAACCUUCUUAUUCUUCUGCCCCAUCUUGGAUCCACAUGCAGAAUAUCCAUUUUACCAAGAAAGGGAUUGAUGAGAAAUGGCAGAGAUUAAAAGAAAAAUAAUUAUUUAAAGUACACUUUGAUCACUGAUUGUAUUGUAUUCAUUUUCUGUUACUUAUAUCCUUAUUGUCUGUAGAAAAACUGAGAAAAUAAAUGUCUG
Hemicordylus capensis (graceful crag lizard) is the source of this 14043-nucleotide long non-coding RNA. RefSeq lists it as uncharacterized. The record is from RefSeq and is a predicted model, not a curated record. The transcript has 6 exons. Lineage: Eukaryota; Metazoa; Chordata; Lepidosauria; Squamata; Cordylidae.